AAGGAUCAUUCAUGAAAUGCAAGGACGCUCUUUUUAGAGGUCCGACCCAUUCAUUCCUUCACACUGUGCACACACUACUUUUACACCUUUUUAACACUGUUAUAAGAAUAAGAAUGUCAUCGUCUCUUAAUUGAGCAAUAAACUAUUAAAACUUUCGGCAACGGAUCUCUUGGCUCCC
This 178-nucleotide unclassified non-coding RNA is filed under the name uncultured fungus. RNAcentral describes it as "partial contains 18S rRNA, ITS1, 5.8S rRNA, ITS2 and 28S rRNA". The record is from RNAcentral. Lineage: Eukaryota; Fungi.